GGUCUUUCUCAUAUUUUAAUGCAGUUUAACAUUGAGCCACAACCACAUAUGUUCCAUUGUUAUCACUCAUUCAUGUUUAUACUCGAUUUGGCAGAACUAGCUCACGACUAAAAGGAGGGAAUAAGUUGGGUUAAACUCAUCGAAGCGAGUCGCAUCAAUUAAUCAAUAAAGGAACGAAGCAUGAAACAUCAUACGAUUUAUAAUAGAGAAGUUAAUCGACAUAAUCAUCACCAAAUACAGAAAAAUUCUAAAUCUAGUGUAAGAACAACGUCCCCUUUGAUGUCAAGACUAACCCAACUAUCAAAAGAACCAGAAACUCAGCAAUUAAAUCGCAAUGAAAUAGUCUUUAUAAUCCAACAUGGGUAUUAGUCUAUAAUCAGUACGGAAAAAAAAUCCUCCAAUAAACUGAUUACCAUUAAGAUACUUGAACAAAUCAAACCAUUAACUAAUUACAUGCUGAAUUCUCAAACAGAACAUCAUGGCUAGCAGUGAAAGCCAUUGACUGCACAUUUCCAUACAGCCUGAUGGUUUCCCGAACCAUCAAUCAAUCACUGAAGCUCGAUACUUAUGCUAAGUAAAGCAUAAUGAACAUACAAUGGACUAAGAAUGAUCACAUAGGUCAGUAAUACACACUAUUCAAAAACAAACAUCAGUGGAUAACCAAUUACUCAUCCUCGCUCUCAACAGACCAAAUACUUGAUUUAAAUAUUCCAAUAACUUCAAAGGUUAAAUAGAGACAGAACCUAAGAUAGAUUUAGACAUGUCCAGGUUGAAUCUAGGAUAAAAAAAUCCAAAAUAACAGUUCCAGAACUUUUAGAAAUAAGGGAAUACAAGUCAACAAUACCCAUAAUGACUUCAUGAAUUGGGAUAGAUUCAAAUGAGGCUAAACGAUUCAAACAAGUUCACAAAUCCAUCUCUCAUCACAAUUCAAACAAUGCCAAAUGGGAUGGCUAUACACACCUCAGACAGUACAACAGUAUCACAGAAAGGUAAAGAAGAAGAAAGGAGCCACGUUCAUAUGAAUCGAUUCAAUAACAACUUAACGACUUGUGUUAAAAUAAAGUAAAAAUAACAAACCUGUUGGUGAAAAAUUACUUCUAAUAAAAUCAGCAGAAAUAAGGAGUAGAAAUUCAACAAUCAACUCCAAAUCGUGAAAUCACCGUAGAAAUCGACCCGAAUCGCGAACACACCUUGAAUCGACAAAUGAAACACGCACUCCGAUUAACUCCAAACAACCUCAAUCGAAUUCAAUCGUUGAAAUAUUAAAUCAAAAACCAAGUGUGUGUGUAUAUAUAUAUAGUGUUUCUUUUUUGCUUUGGGGAAAUCAGAGAACAAACCUAAAGAAAACUAAAAUCAGAAAAACGAUUCAAGAGAAAUCAAAAAACCUUAGCAGACUCAGUUUUUCUUGAUGGUUCACCAAUAAUCCUCUCUCCGUAUAAAAAUCCCCCUCCUAAGAAAGAAAAUUCUUGCCUUAUAUAUCCUUUUCGCCAAAAAACUCGAACCUUCUGCCCUCAAUCCAAAAAAUGCUUUCAUUCUCUUUCUGUGAAUGAUUUUAGGGAUAAAUGGAGGGCAUGGAUUGAUUUCAAUCCAUCCACGACUCCCAUUCAUCCAAAAAUCGCUCAAGAAGCAAAAGUGUAGGAGAACAAUUUAAAGAUAGAAGACCUUUAAAUGUAAGAAAGAAAGAGAUUUUGUUUAG
RNAcentral lists this long non-coding RNA (1696 nucleotides) under Nicotiana benthamiana. RNAcentral's name for it is "long non-coding RNA (NBEN_LNC017693)". The record is from RNAcentral. Lineage: Eukaryota; Viridiplantae; Streptophyta; Magnoliopsida; Solanales; Solanaceae.